This 563-nucleotide ribosomal RNA is filed under the name uncultured bacterium. RNAcentral describes it as "bacterial SSU rRNA". It matches the Rfam family "Bacterial small subunit ribosomal RNA", at positions 338 to 916 of the family's 1533-position model. The record is from RNAcentral.
CCUACGGGAGGCAGCAGUGGGGAAUCUUGCGCAAUGGGCGAAAGCCUGACGCAGCCAUGCCGCGUGAAUGAUGAAGGUCUUAGGAUUGUAAAAUUCUUUCACCGGGGACGAUAAUGACGGUACCCGGAGAAGAAGCCCCGGCUAACUUCGUGCCAGCAGCCGCGGUAAUACGAAGGGGGCUAGCGUUGCUCGGAAUUACUGGGCGUAAAGGGAGCGUAGGCGGACAUUUAAGUCAGGGGUGAAAUCCCGGGGCUCAACCUCGGAAUUGCCUUUGAUACUGGGUGUCUUGAGUAUGAGAGAGGUGUGUGGAACUCCGAGUGUAGAGGUGAAAUUCGUAGAUAUUCGGAAGAACACCAGUGGCGAAGGCGACACACUGGCUCAUUACUGACGCUGAGGCUCGAAAGCGUGGGGAGCAAACAGGAUUAGAUACCCUGGUAGUCCACGCCGUAAACGAUGAUUGCUAGUUGUCGGGAUGCAUGCAUUUCGGUGACGCAGCUAACGCAUUAAGCAAAUCCGCCUGGGGAGUACGGUCGCAAGAUUAAAAACUUAAAGGAAAUUGACGG